GUGGGGAAUCUUCCGCAAUGGACGAAAGUCUGACGGAGCGACGCCGCGUGAGUGAAGAAGGCCUUCGGGUCGUAAAGCUCUGUCAUCAGGGACGAAUGGCCGGUGGAGUGGAAAGCCACCGGAUUGACGGUACCUGAGAAGGAAGCCACGGCUAACUACGUGCCAGCAGCCGCGGUAAUACGUAGGUGGCAAGCGUUGUCCGGAAUUAUUGGGCGUAAAGCGCGCGCAGGUGGGAUCUUAAGUCCAUUUUGAAAGUUCGGAGCUCAACUCCGUGAUGGGAUGGAAACUGGGAUUCUUGAGUACCGGAGAGGAAAGCGGAAUUCCCCGUGUAGCGGUGAAAUGCGUAGAUAUGGGGAGGAACACCAGUGGCGAAGGCGGCUUUCUGGACGGUGUCUGACACUGAGGCGCGAAAGCCAGGGGAGCGAACGGGAUUAGAAACCCGGGUAGUCC
This 450-nucleotide ribosomal RNA is filed under the name uncultured bacterium. RNAcentral describes it as "partial 16S ribosomal RNA". It matches the Rfam family "Bacterial small subunit ribosomal RNA", at positions 354 to 796 of the family's 1533-position model. The record is from RNAcentral.